UAUUCAACAACAACAAGCAUGGCGCCCAUCAUGAAUAUUGACGAUUGCACAAUGAAUUUAUCGCAAAUUAGCAGUCUGACUAGCGUUGUAUCAAUGUUUAACGCACACCAACUUGUAAAAUUAACAUUUCGGGGCAUACUUCUGCACGAAAUACUUGGUGCGGUAACACAAAAAUGUGAAAAUUUCAAAAAUCUGAGCCCAGGAAAUUGAGGAUUUUCCAAAGUCUUUUUUUUCAAAUUCAAAAGUUGACGAAAGCCCAGUAAUUUCUCUCAUCCGCCGGCCUGAUCAAGUGUGAGUGGGACAAUCACCGUUACUACAUCGAGCCCAUCGCCUUCGACAUGCAGCUAGUCUAGAGAUACUGCAUCGACGUUAAGGCUAACUCCUCAAUCACUGAGGUACACAGGUUGAGUUAGCACAUCUGACAAGAUUGACCUUGACACAUAACAAGAUCACCAAUAUACCAUCGUCACUGACCAACUUGUACAAUCUGGAGUUCCUGAACUGUUUCAACAAUCAUAUCAAGGAAAUACAUCCAAAUAUCAGCAGCAUGACAAAAUUGAAGACCUUAAAUCUGGGCAUGAAUCGCUUGUGCACAUUGCCCCGAGGGUUUGGUGCGUUUCCUGUCUUAGAAGUGUUGUAUCUGACAUACAAUUAUCUCAACGAGACAAGUCUGCCACAGAACUUCUUUCAACUUGAUUCUCUACGUGCUCUUUAUUUGGGUGACAAUGACUUUGAGACCUUGCCACCCAAGAUCGGCAGACUGAAGAAUCUCCAAAUUGUAAGUGUGCCUUAAGUGUUGUUCAAGCCGAAGAAUCUCCAAAUUGUAAGUGUGCCUUAAGUGUUGUCCAAGCCGAAGAAUCUCCAAAUUGUAAGUGUGCCUUAAGUGUUGUCCAAGCCCAUGAAUCUCCACAUUGUAAGUGUGCCUUAAGUGUUGUUCAAGCCGAAGAAUCUCCAAAUUGUAAGUGUGCCUUAAGUGUUGUCCAAGCCGAAGAAUCUCCACAUUGUAAGUGUGCCUUAAGUGUUGUCCAAGCCCAUGAAUCUCCAAAUUGAAAGUGUGCCUUAAGUGUUGUCCAAGCCCAUGAAUCUCCAAAUUGUAAGUGUGCCUUAAGUGUUGUCCAAGCCGAAGAAUCUCCAAAUUGUAAGUGUGCUUUAAGUGUUGUCCAAGC
Molecule: long non-coding RNA, 1166 nt
Organism: Dreissena polymorpha
Lineage: Eukaryota; Metazoa; Mollusca; Bivalvia; Myida; Dreissenidae
Exons: 6
Source: RefSeq, a predicted model, not a curated record